RNAcentral lists this transfer RNA (67 nucleotides) under bovine gut metagenome. It matches the Rfam family "tRNA". Rfam says of the family: Transfer RNA (tRNA) molecules are approximately 80 nucleotides in length. Their secondary structure includes four short double-helical elements and three loops (D, anti-codon, and T loops). Further hydrogen bonds mediate the characteristic L-shaped molecular structure. tRNAs have two regions of fundamental functional importance: the anti-codon, which is responsible for specific mRNA codon recognition, and the 3' end, to which the tRNAs corresponding amino acid is attached (by aminoacyl-tRNA synthetases). tRNAs cope with the degeneracy of the genetic code in two manners: having more than one tRNA (with a specific anti-codon) for a particular amino acid; and 'wobble' base-pairing, i.e. permitting non-standard base-pairing at the 3rd anti-codon position. The record is from RNAcentral.
GGGUGUAGUUCAACGGCAGAACUGUAGACUUCAAAUCUACGUGUUGUGGGUUCAAAUCCUGCCACCC